This 253-nucleotide ribosomal RNA is filed under the name uncultured bacterium. RNAcentral describes it as "partial 16S ribosomal RNA". It matches the Rfam family "Bacterial small subunit ribosomal RNA", at positions 524 to 776 of the family's 1533-position model. The record is from RNAcentral.
UACAGAGGUCUCAAGCGUUGUUCGGAUUCAUUGGGCGUAAAGGGUGCGUAGGUGGCGGGGUAAGUCAGGUGUGAAAUUUCGGAGCUUAACUCCGAAACUGCAUUUGAUACUGCCUUGCUUGAGGACUGGAGAGGAGACUGGAAUUCACGGUGUAGCAGUGAAAUGCGUAGAUAUCGUGAGGAAGACCAGUGGCGAAGGCGGGUCUCUGGGCCGAUACUGACGCUGAGGAGCGAAAGCGUGGGGAGCGAACAGG